AAUAUUGCACAAUGGGGGAAACCCUGAUGCAGCAACGCCGCGUGAGCGAUGAAGGCCUUCGGGUCGUAAAGCACUGUCCUAAGGGAAGAUAAUGACGGUACCUUAGGAUGAAGCCCCGGCUAACUACGUGCCAUCAGCCGCGGGAAAACGUAGGGGGCAAGCGUUAUCCGGAAUCAUUGGUCGUAAAGGGUGCGUAGGCGGCCCUAUGGGUCAGAGGUUAAAGGCUACGGCUCAACCGUAGUAAGCCUUUGAAACUGUAGGGCUUGAGUGCAGGAGAGGAGAGUGGAAUUCCUAGUGUAGCGGUGAAAUGCGUAGAUAUUAGGAGGAACACCAGUGGCGAAGGCGACUCUCUGGACUGCAACUGACGCUGAGGCACGAAAGCGUGGGUAGCGAAC
RNAcentral lists this ribosomal RNA (395 nucleotides) under uncultured bacterium. RNAcentral's name for it is "partial 16S ribosomal RNA". It matches the Rfam family "Bacterial small subunit ribosomal RNA", at positions 360 to 773 of the family's 1533-position model. The record is from RNAcentral.